RNAcentral lists this ribosomal RNA (373 nucleotides) under uncultured organism. Its description in RNAcentral is "bacterial SSU rRNA". It matches the Rfam family "Bacterial small subunit ribosomal RNA", at positions 526 to 896 of the family's 1533-position model. The record is from RNAcentral.
CAGAGGCCCCAAGCGUUACUGAGAAUCACUGGGUUUAAAGGGUGCGUAGGUGGUUCGUUAAGUCUGUUGUGAAAUCCCCGGGCUCAACCCGGGAACUGCUUCGGAUACUGGCGAACUUGAGGUCGGUAGGGGUCACCGGAACUGAUGGUGGAGCGGUGAAAUGCGUAGAUAUCAUCAGGAACGCCAAUGGUGAAGACAGGUGACUUGGCCGAAUCUGACACUGAGGCACGAAAGCGUGGGGAGCGAACGGGAUUAGAUACCCCGGUAGUCCACGCCCUAAACGAUGCAGACUAGAUUGCAGCGGGUCUUACCCCGUUGCGGUCGGAGCGAAAUUGUUAAGUCUGCCACCUGGGGAAGUACGGUCGCAAGGCUA